Oncorhynchus keta (chum salmon) is the source of this 1760-nucleotide long non-coding RNA. RefSeq lists it as uncharacterized. The record is from RefSeq and is a predicted model, not a curated record. The transcript is spliced from 3 exons. NCBI's taxonomy places the organism in Eukaryota, Metazoa, Chordata, Actinopteri, Salmoniformes, Salmonidae.
GUCACACAUGGAAUAAACAAAACAUACAGUCAAUAAUACAGUAGGAAAAAAAAGUCUAUAUACAGUGAGUGCAAAUGAGGUAAGAUAUGGAAGUUAAGGCAAUAAAUAGGCCAUGGUGGCGAAGUAAUUACAAUAUAGCAGUUAAAAACUGGAAUGGUAGAUGUGCAUAAGAUUAAAGUGCAAGUAGAGAUACUGGGGUGCAAAGGAGCCAGAUAAAUACAUUAAUACAGUAUGGGGAUGAGGUAGAUAGAUGGGCUGUUUACAGAUGGGCUAUGUACAGGUGCAGUGAUCUGUGAUAUAUAUAUAUACAGUGGGGAGAACAAGUAUUUGAUACACUGCCUAUUUUGCAGGUUUUCUACUUACAAAGCAUGUAGAGGUCUGUAAUUUGUAUCAUAGGUACACUUCAACUGUGAGAGACGGAAUCUAAAACGAAAAUCCAGAAAAUCACAUUGUAUGAUUUUUAAGUAAUUAAUUUGGCCAAGAUCUUUCGAAGACCUUAGAAAGACAGGGUAGGAUAGAUAUAGGUCUGUAGCAGUUUGGGUCUAGAGUGUCACCCCCUUUGAAGAGAGGGAUGACCAGCUUUCCAAUGUUUGGGAAUCUCAGACGAUACGAAAGAGAGGUUGAACAGGCUAGUAAUAGGGGUUGCAACAAUUUUGCAAUUUCAGCAGAUCAUUUUAGAAAGAGAGGGUCCAGAUUGUCUAGCCCGGCUGAUUUGUAGGGUCCGGAUUUUGCAGCUCUUCCAGAACAUCAGCUAUCUGGAUUUGGGUGAAAGAGAAAUGGUGGGGACUUUGGCGGGUUGCUUUGGAGGGUGCCGGGCAAUUGGCUGGGGUAGGGGUAGCCAGGUGGAAAGCAUGGCCAGCCGUAGAGAAAUGCUUAUUGAAAUUCUCAAUUAUAGUGGAUUUAUCGGUGGUGACAGUGUUUCUGUCACAACCUGACCUUAGAGAGCCUUUUUAUUUCUCUAUUUGGUUAGGUCAGGGUGUGAUUUGGGUGGGCAUUCUAGUUUUCUAUUUCUUUGUUGGCCGGGUAUGAUUCCCAAUCAGAGGCAGCUGUCUAUCAUUGUGUCUGGGCAGCCUGUUUUCCACCCUAUGUUGUGGGAUCUUGUCUUUGUAUAGUUGCUGUUUAGCACUACAGAGCUUUACGUUCGUUUAUAUUUUGUUGUUUUUUGGUGUUCAUUUAAUAAAGUACGAUGAACAUUUUCUACGCUGCGCUUUGGUCUCGUUCAAUUGACGACGGACGUAACGGUUUCCUAGCCUCAGAGCAGUGGGCAGCUGGGAGGAGGUGCUCUUAUUCUCCAUGGACUUUACAGUGACGUAACAGUUUCCGAGCCUCAGAGCAGUGGGCAGCUGGGAGGAGGUGCUCUUAUUCUCCAUGGACUUUACAGUGACGUAACAGUUUCCUAGCCUCAGAGCAGUGGGCAGCUGGGAGGAGGUGCUCUUAUUCUCCAUGGACUUUACAGUGACGUAACAGUUUCCUAGCCUCAGAGCAGUGGGCAGCUGGGAGGAGGUGCUCUUAUUCUCCAUGGACUUUACAGUGACGUAACAGUUUCCUAGCCUCAGAGCAGUGGGCAGCUGGGAGGAGGUGCUCUUAUUCUCCAUGGACUUUACAGUGACGUAACAGUUUCCUAGCCUCAGAGCAGUGGGCAGCUGGGAGGAGGUGCUCUUAUUCUCCAUGGACUUUACAGUGACGUAACAGUUUCCUAGCCUCAGAGCAGUGGGCAGCUGGGAGGAGGUGCUCUUAUUCUCCAUGGACUUUACAGUGAC